Molecule: ribosomal RNA, 1372 nt
Filed under: uncultured bacterium
Lineage: Bacteria
Description: bacterial SSU rRNA
Rfam family: Bacterial small subunit ribosomal RNA
Source: RNAcentral
GAUGAACGCUGGCGGCGUGCCUAAUACAUGCAAGUCGAGCGAACGGACGAGAAGCUUGCUUCUCUGAUGUUAGCGGCGGACGGGUGAGUAACACGUGGAUAACCUACCUAUAAGACUGGGAUAACUUCGGGAAACCGGAGCUAAUACCGGAUAAUAUUUUGAACCGCAUGGUUCAAAAGUGAAAGACGGUCUUGCUGUCACUUAUAGAUGGAUCCGCGCUGCAUUAGCUAGUUGGUAAGGUAACGGCUUACCAAGGCAACGAUGCAUAGCCGACCUGAGAGGGUGAUCGGCCACACUGGAACUGAGACACGGUCCAGACUCCUACGGGAGGCAGCAGUAGGGAAUCUUCCGCAAUGGGCGAAAGCCUGACGGAGCAACGCCGCGUGAGUGAUGAAGGUCUUCGGAUCGUAAAACUCUGUUAUUAGGGAAGAACAUAUGUGUAAGUAACUGUGCACAUCUUGACGGUACCUAAUCAGAAAGCCACGGCUAACUACGUGCCAGCAGCCGCGGUAAUACGUAGGUGGCAAGCGUUAUCCGGAAUUAUUGGGCGUAAAGCGCGCGUAGGCGGUUUUUUAAGUCUGAUGUGAAAGCCCACGGCUCAACCGUGGAGGGUCAUUGGAAACUGGAAGACUUGAGUGCAGAAGAGGAAAGUGGAAUUCCAUGUGUAGCGGUGAAAUGCGCAGAGAUAUGGAGGAACACCAGUGGCGAAGGCGACUUUCUGGUCUGUAACUGACGCUGAUGUGCGAAAGCGUGGGGAUCAAACAGGAUUAGAUACCCUGGUAGUCCACGCCGUAAACGAUGAGUGCUAAGUGUUAGGGGGUUUCCGCCCCUUAGUGCUGCAGCUAACGCAUUAAGCACUCCGCCUGGGGAGUACGACCGCAAGGUCGAAACUCAAAGGAAUUGACGGGGACCCGCACAAGCGGUGGAGCAUGUGGUUUAAUUCGAAGCAACGCGAAGAACCUUACCAAAUCUUGACAUCCUUUGACAACUCUAGAGAUAGAGCCUUCCCCUUCGGGGGACAAAGUGACAGGUGGUGCAUGGUUGUCGUCAGCUCGUGUCGUGAGAUGUUGGGUUAAGUCCCGCAACGAGCGCAACCCUUAAGCUUAGUUGCCAUCAUUAAGUUGGGCACUCUAAGUUGACUGCCGGUGACAAACCGGAGGAAGGUGGGGAUGACGUCAAAUCAUCAUGCCCCUUAUGAUUUGGGCUACACACGUGCUACAAUGGACAAUACAAAGGGCAGCGAAACCGCGAGGUCAAGCAAAUCCCAUAAAGUUGUUCUCAGUUCGGAUUGUAGUCUGCAACUCGACUACAUGAAGCUGGAAUCGCUAGUAAUCGUAGAUCAGCAUGCUACGGUGAAUACGUUCCCGGGUCU